GACGAAUCUAUUUGCAGCCGAGCCUGCGCAUUACCGUGCGCGGGGGAGGGCUCAGAAAAGAGGAAUCC
This is a regulatory RNA element of Hydrogenophaga sp., 68 nucleotides long. It matches the Rfam family "ilvH RNA". Lineage: Bacteria; Pseudomonadati; Pseudomonadota; Betaproteobacteria; Burkholderiales; Comamonadaceae. The record is from Rfam.